Molecule: ribosomal RNA, 443 nt
Filed under: uncultured bacterium
Lineage: Bacteria
Description: partial 16S ribosomal RNA
Rfam family: Bacterial small subunit ribosomal RNA
Source: RNAcentral
CCUACGGGUGGCAGCAGUGAGGAAUAUUGGUCAAUGGGCGCAAGCCUGACCCAGCAAUGCCGCGUGAAGGAAGAAGGCCCUCGGGUUGUAAACUUCUUUUAUCAGGGACGAAGGAUGUGACGGUACCUGAUGAAUAAGCUCCCGCUAACUACGUGCCAGCCGCCGCGGUAAUACGUCGGGAGCAAGCGUUAUCCGGAUUUACUGGGUGUAAAGGGCGCGUAGGCGGGAUGGCAAGUCAGAUGUGAAAUCCGGGGGCUCAACCCCUGAACUGCAUUUGAAACUGUCGUUCUUGAGUACGGGAGAGGUAGACGGAAUUCGUAGUGUAGCGGUGAAAUGCGUAGAUAUUAGGAGGAACACCAGAGGCGAAGGCAGUAAACUGGACAGCAACUGACGCUGAGGCGCGAAAGCGUGGGGAGCAAACAGGAUUAGAUACCCGAGUAGUC